RNAcentral lists this microRNA (22 nucleotides) under Homo sapiens (human). RNAcentral describes it as "hsa-miR-4757-3p". The record is from miRBase by way of RNAcentral. Lineage: Eukaryota; Metazoa; Chordata; Mammalia; Primates; Hominidae.
CAUGACGUCACAGAGGCUUCGC